CAUACAGAGCAUAUAUUCAACUUCGUUACUUCUCCAUUUAUGGAAUGGAAGGAGGCUAUCACUCACUAAACCUUCCAUGCUGCUGCCAUCAGAUACCCCAGAAACUACACUAGGAGGCUGCUACAAAACUCAGAAAUGCUCACCACCCUGACCUUGAGGCUGCUCUACUGGUCAGAACAAAACCAAGCAACUAAGUUUCAGUAGGCAAAAGGAAGACCAAGGGAAUAACCAUGGGUCUUUGCACACUUAGUUGAGACAUAAAAGGAGAGUGCCAGAUAUCUUGUGCCACAGAUGCUGGCCAGACCAGGGGAUCUUACUGUCCCUUGUGCCAACUCUUGUCAUGACACAUCCUAUAGCCAAGCAUUGCCCAACCAGCCAACAGAGCUCCUGGCUCUCUGCAUAGGAUAAGAGCUCACUGUUCUGAAAGAUGUACUUUGUCCCAUACAACCUUCCUUCACACCCUACAGACUUGCCUCAGGCUUUGGACAAGCUCCACACUUAAUCACGUUUUGCACAAUAGUUCACCUCUUCUGAAACAGCUGACCAGAAUUGCUACAAGAUGCAGGCCAAUGUACUUAUGCAGAUCAUUGAUCAAUCCUCUUCAAUAACGCC
Molecule: long non-coding RNA, 612 nt
Filed under: Phasianus colchicus (ring-necked pheasant)
Lineage: Eukaryota; Metazoa; Chordata; Aves; Galliformes; Phasianidae
Description: lncRNA (ENSPCLG00000002718.1)
Source: RNAcentral